CACCGACAACGGUCGCACCGUGGCCGACACCUAGCGAGUAUCGUUUACGGCUAGGACUACCCGGGUAUCUAAUCCGGUUCGUGCCCCUAGCUUUCGUCCCUUGCCGUCAGGUCCGUUCUGGUGAGACGCMUUCGCCACUGGUGGUCCUUCAAGGAUUACAAGAUUUCACCCCUACCCCUGAAGUACCUCUCACCUCUCCCGGCCUCGAGCCGAACAGUAUCUCCUGAAAGCCCAACAGUUGAGCUGCUGGAUUUCUCAAGAGACCUAUCCGGCCGGCUACAGACCCUUUAGACCCAAUAAUAACGGUUACCACUCGAGCCGCCGGUGUUACCGCGGCGGCUGGCACCGGUCUUGCCCGGCCCUUGCUAUGCAAUGCUUUUUAGGCAUCACGACAGCCAGAUUUGUAACCUGGCACUCGAGGUCCCCUUAUCGC
RNAcentral lists this ribosomal RNA (433 nucleotides) under uncultured archaeon. RNAcentral describes it as "partial 16S ribosomal RNA". The record is from RNAcentral.